Molecule: ribosomal RNA, 600 nt
Filed under: uncultured bacterium
Lineage: Bacteria
Description: bacterial SSU rRNA
Rfam family: Bacterial small subunit ribosomal RNA
Source: RNAcentral
CUUGCUUCUUGGGUGACGAGCGGCGGACGGGUGAGUAACGCGUGGGAAUCUACCUGGUAGUGGGGGACAACAGUCGGAAACGACUGCUAAUACCGCAUACGCCCUUUGGGGGAAAGUGGGGGAUCUUCGGACCUCACGCUAUCAGAAGAGCCCGCGUCGGAUUAGCUGGUUGGUGGGGUAAGAGCCUACCAAGGCGAUGAUCCGUAGCUGGUCUGAGAGGAUGACCAGCCACACUGGGACUGAGACACGGCCCAGACUCCUACGGGAGGCAGCAGUGGGGAAUAUUGGACAAUGGGGGCAACCCUGAUCCAGCCAUGCCGCGUGUGUGAAGAAGGCCUUCGGGUUGUAAAGCACUUUCAGCUGUGAGGAAAGGUGAGUGGUUAAUACCCGCUUACUGUGACGUUAACAGCAGAAGAAGGACCGGCUAACUCCGUGCCAGCAGCCGCGGUAAUACGGAGGGUCCGAGCGUUAAUCGGAAUUACUGGGCGUAAAGCGCGCGUAGGUGGUUCAGUCAGUCAGAUGUGAAAGCCCCGGGCUCAACCUGGGAACUGCACCUGAUACUGCUGAGCUAGAGUACGGUAGAGGGCAGUGGAAUUUCCG